Molecule: transfer RNA, 74 nt
Filed under: Treponemataceae bacterium
Lineage: Bacteria; Pseudomonadati; Spirochaetota; Spirochaetia; Treponematales; Treponemataceae
Description: tRNA-Ile
Rfam family: tRNA
About the family: Transfer RNA (tRNA) molecules are approximately 80 nucleotides in length.
Source: RNAcentral
GGGAUAUUAGCUCAGUCGGUUAGAGCAGAGGACUCAUAAUCCUUUGGUCCAAGGUUCAAGUCCUUGAUGUCCCA